This 472-nucleotide ribosomal RNA is filed under the name uncultured organism. RNAcentral describes it as "partial 16S ribosomal RNA". It matches the Rfam family "Bacterial small subunit ribosomal RNA", at positions 331 to 796 of the family's 1533-position model. The record is from RNAcentral.
GUACACUCCUGCGGGAGGCAGCAGUGGGGAAUUUUGGACAAUGGGCGAAAGCCUGAUCCAGCCAUGCCGCGUGCAGGAUGAAGGCCUUCGGGUUGUAAACUGCUUUUGUACGGAACGAAACGGCCUUUUCUAAUAAAGAGGGCUAAUGACGGUACCGUAAGAAUAAGCACCGGCUAACUACGUGCCAGCAGCCGCGGUAAUACGUAGGGUGCAAGCGUUAAUCGGAAUUACUGGGCGUAAAGCGUGCGCAGGCGGUUAUGUAAGACAGUUGUGAAAUCCCCGGGCUCAACCUGGGAACUGCAUCUGUGACUGCAUAGCUAGAGUACGGUAGAGGGGGAUGGAAUUCCGCGUGUAGCAGUGAAAUGCGUAGAUAUGCGGAGGAACACCGAUGGCGAAGGCAAUCCCCUGGACCUGUACUGACGCUCAUGCACGAAAGCGUGGGGAGCAAACAGGAUUAGAUACCCUGUAGUCC